This 417-nucleotide ribosomal RNA is filed under the name uncultured prokaryote. RNAcentral's name for it is "bacterial SSU rRNA". It matches the Rfam family "Bacterial small subunit ribosomal RNA", at positions 505 to 918 of the family's 1533-position model. The record is from RNAcentral.
GUGUCAGCAGCCGCGGUAAGACGUAAGGGGCAAGCGUUGUCCGGAAUUACUGGGCGUAAAGAGCGCGUAGGUGGCCACGCAAGCGGCAGGUGAAAUCCCGAGGCUCAACUUCGGAACUGCUUGCCGAACUGCUUGGCUAGAGCGCGGGAGAGGGCAGUGGAAUUCCUGGUGUAGCGGUGGAAUGCGUCAAUAUCAGGAAGAACACCCGUGGCGAAGGCUGCUGCCUGGAACGUUGCUGACACUGAGGCGCGAAAGCUAGGGGAGCGAACGGGAUUAGAUACCCCGGUAGUCCUAGCCGUAAACGAUGGGCACUAGGUGUUGCAGGCUUCGACCCCUGCAGUGCUGUUAAGCUAACGCGUUAAGUGCCCCGCCUGGGGAGUACGGCCGCAAGGUUGAAACUCAAAUGAAUUGACGGGG